This 2931-nucleotide ribosomal RNA is filed under the name Escherichia coli. RNAcentral's name for it is "23S ribosomal RNA". It matches the Rfam family "Bacterial large subunit ribosomal RNA". The record is from RNAcentral. Lineage: Bacteria; Pseudomonadati; Pseudomonadota; Gammaproteobacteria; Enterobacterales; Enterobacteriaceae.
GGGUUGUGAGGUUAAGCGACUAAGCGUACACGGUGGAUGCCCUGGCAGUCAGAGGCGAUGAAGGACGUGCUAAUCUGCGAUAAGCGUCGGUAAGGUGAUAUGAACCGUUAUAACCGGCGAUUUCCGAAUGGGGAAACCCAGUGUGUUUCGACACACUAUCAUUAACUGAAUCCAUAGGUUAAUGAGGCGAACCGGGGGAACUGAAACAUCUAAGUACCCCGAGGAAAAGAAAUCAACCGAGAUUCCCCCAGUAGCGGCGAGCGAACGGGGAGCAGCCCAGAGCCUGAAUCAGUGUGUGUGUUAGUGGAAGCGUCUGGAAAGGCGCGCGAUACAGGGUGACAGCCCCGUACACAAAAAUGCACAUGCUGUGAGCUCGAUGAGUAGGGCGGGACACGUGGUAUCCUGUCUGAAUAUGGGGGGACCAUCCUCCAAGGCUAAAUACUCCUGACUGACCGAUAGUGAACCAGUACCGUGAGGGAAAGGCGAAAAGAACCCCGGCGAGGGGAGUGAAAAAGAACCUGAAACCGUGUACGUACAAGCAGUGGGAGCACGCUUAGGCGUGUGACUGCGUACCUUUUGUAUAAUGGGUCAGCGACUUAUAUUCUGUAGCAAGGUUAACCGAAUAGGGGAGCCGAAGGGAAACCGAGUCUUAACUGGGCGUUAAGUUGCAGGGUAUAGACCCGAAACCCGGUGAUCUAGCCAUGGGCAGGUUGAAGGUUGGGUAACACUAACUGGAGGACCGAACCGACUAAUGUUGAAAAAUUAGCGGAUGACUUGUGGCUGGGGGUGAAAGGCCAAUCAAACCGGGAGAUAGCUGGUUCUCCCCGAAAGCUAUUUAGGUAGCGCCUCGUGAAUUCAUCUCCGGGGGUAGAGCACUGUUUCGGCAAGGGGGUCAUCCCGACUUACCAACCCGAUGCAAACUGCGAAUACCGGAGAAUGUUAUCACGGGAGACACACGGCGGGUGCUAACGUCCGUCGUGAAGAGGGAAACAACCCAGACCGCCAGCUAAGGUCCCAAAGUCAUGGUUAAGUGGGAAACGAUGUGGGAAGGCCCAGACAGCCAGGAUGUUGGCUUAGAAGCAGCCAUCAUUUAAAGAAAGCGUAAUAGCUCACUGGUCGAGUCGGCCUGCGCGGAAGAUGUAACGGGGCUAAACCAUGCACCGAAGCUGCGGCAGCGACGCUUAUGCGUUGUUGGGUAGGGGAGCGUUCUGUAAGCCUGCGAAGGUGUGCUGUGAGGCAUGCUGGAGGUAUCAGAAGUGCGAAUGCUGACAUAAGUAACGAUAAAGCGGGUGAAAAGCCCGCUCGCCGGAAGACCAAGGGUUCCUGUCCAACGUUAAUCGGGGCAGGGUGAGUCGACCCCUAAGGCGAGGCCGAAAGGCGUAGUCGAUGGGAAACAGGUUAAUAUUCCUGUACUUGGUGUUACUGCGAAGGGGGGACGGAGAAGGCUAUGUUGGCCGGGCGACGGUUGUCCCGGUUUAAGCGUGUAGGCUGGUUUUCCAGGCAAAUCCGGAAAAUCAAGGCUGAGGCGUGAUGACGAGGCACUACGGUGCUGAAGCAACAAAUGCCCUGCUUCCAGGAAAAGCCUCUAAGCAUCAGGUAACAUCAAAUCGUACCCCAAACCGACACAGGUGGUCAGGUAGAGAAUACCAAGGCGCUUGAGAGAACUCGGGUGAAGGAACUAGGCAAAAUGGUGCCGUAACUUCGGGAGAAGGCACGCUGAUAUGUAGGUGAAGUCCCUCGCGGAUGGAGCUGAAAUCAGUCGAAGAUACCAGCUGGCUGCAACUGUUUAUUAAAAACACAGCACUGUGCAAACACGAAAGUGGACGUAUACGGUGUGACGCCUGCCCGGUGCCGGAAGGUUAAUUGAUGGGGUUAGCGCAAGCGAAGCUCUUGAUCGAAGCCCCGGUAAACGGCGGCCGUAACUAUAACGGUCCUAAGGUAGCGAAAUUCCUUGUCGGGUAAGUUCCGACCUGCACGAAUGGCGUAAUGAUGGCCAGGCUGUCUCCACCCGAGACUUAGUGAAAUUGAACUCGCUGUGAAGAUGCAGUGUACCCGCGGCAAGACGGAAAGACCCCGUGAACCUUUACUAUAGCUUGACACUGAACAUUGAGCCUUGAUGUGUAGGAUAGGUGGGAGGCUUUGAAGUGUGGACGCCAGUCUGCAUGGAGCCGACCUUGAAAUACCACCCUUUAAUGUUUGAUGUUCUAACGUGGACCCGUAAUCCGGGUUGCGGACAGUGUCUGGUGGGUAGUUUGACUGGGGCGGUCUCCUCCUAAAGAGUAACGGAGGAGCACGAAGGUUGGCUAAUCCUGGUCGGACAUCAGGAGGUUAGUGCAAUGGCAUAAGCCAGCUUGACUGCGAGCGUGACGGCGCGAGCAGGUGCGAAAGCAGGUCAUAGUGAUCCGGUGGUUCUGAAUGGAAGGGCCAUCGCUCAACGGAUAAAAGGUACUCCGGGGAUAACAGGCUGAUACCGCCCAAGAGUUCAUAUCGACGGCGGUGUUUGGCACCUCGAUGUCGGCUCAUCACAUCCUGGGGCUGAAGUAGGUCCCAAGGGUAUGGCUGUUCGCCAUUUAAAGUGGUACGCGAGCUGGGUUUAGAACGUCGUGAGACAGUUCGGUCCCUAUCUGCCGUGGGCGCUGGAGAACUGAGGGGGGCUGCUCCUAGUACGAGAGGACCGGAGUGGACGCAUCACUGGUGUUCGGGUUGUCAUGCCAAUGGCACUGCCCGGUAGCUAAAUGCGGAAGAGAUAAGUGCUGAAAGCAUCUAAGCACGAAACUUGCCCCGAGAUGAGUUCUCCCUGACUCCUUGAGAGUCCUGAAGGAACGUUGAAGACGACGACGUUGAUAGGCCGGGUGUGUAAGCGCAGCGAUGCGUUGAGCUAACCGGUACUAAUGAACCGUGAGGCUUAACCUUACAACGCCGAAGGUGUUU